ACGCACGCUGGCGGCGUGCUUAACACCUGCCAGUCGAACGGAAAGGCCCUGCUUGCAGGGUACUCGAGUGGCGAACGGGUGAGUAACACGUGGGUGAUCUGCCCUGCACUUCGGGAUAAGCUUGGGAAACUGGGUCUAAUACCGGAUAGGAGCCAUCUUUAGUGUGGUGGUUGGAAAGUUUUUUCGGUGUAGGAUGAGCUCGCGGCCUAUCAGCUUGUUGGUGGGGUAAUGGCCUACCAAGGCGGCGACGGGUAGCCGGCCUGAGAGGGUGUACGGCCACAUUGGGACUGAGAGACGGCCCAGAGUCCCACGGGGGGCAGCAGUGGGGAAUAUUGCACAAUGGGCGCAAGCCUGAGGCAGCGACGCCGCGUGGGGGAUGAAGGCCUUCGGGUUGUAAACUCCUUUCGCUAGGGACGAAGCGUUUUUGUGACGGUACCUAGAUAAGAAGCACCGGCUAACUACGUG
Molecule: ribosomal RNA, 465 nt
Filed under: uncultured bacterium
Lineage: Bacteria
Description: partial 16S ribosomal RNA
Rfam family: Bacterial small subunit ribosomal RNA
Source: RNAcentral